UACGUAGGUGGCGAGCGUUAUCCGGAAUUAUUGGGCGUAAAGGGUGCGUAGGCGGGCUGUUAAGUCAGCGGUCAAAUGUCGGGGCUCAACCCCGGCCUGCCGUUGAAACUGGCGGCCUCGAGUGGGCGAAGGGUAGGCGGAAUGCGUGGUGUAGCGGUGAAAUGCAUAGAUAUCACGCAGAACUCCGAUCGCGAAGGCAGCCUACCGGCGCGCUACUGACGCUCAUGCACGAAAGCGUGGGUAUCGAACAGG
RNAcentral lists this ribosomal RNA (252 nucleotides) under uncultured Bacteroidales bacterium. Its description in RNAcentral is "partial 16S ribosomal RNA". It matches the Rfam family "Bacterial small subunit ribosomal RNA", at positions 524 to 776 of the family's 1533-position model. Lineage: Bacteria; Pseudomonadati; Bacteroidota; Bacteroidia; Bacteroidales. The record is from RNAcentral.